UACGGAGGGGGCUAGCGUUGUUCGGAAUUACUGGGCGUAAAGCGCGCGUAGGCGGACUGGAAAGUUGGGGGUGAAAUCCCGGGGCUCAACCCCGGAACUGCCUCCAAAACUAUCAGUCUGGAGUUCGAGAGAGGUGAGUGGAAUUGCGAGUGUAGAGGUGAAAUUCGUAGAUAUUCGCAGGAACACCAGUGGCGAAGGCGGCUCACUGGCUCGAUACUGACGCUGAGGUGCGAAAGUGUGGGGAGCAAACAGGAUUAGAUACCCCCGUAGUCC
Molecule: ribosomal RNA, 273 nt
Filed under: uncultured bacterium
Lineage: Bacteria
Description: partial 16S ribosomal RNA
Rfam family: Bacterial small subunit ribosomal RNA
Source: RNAcentral